GGCCCAAAAUAAUAACAAUAAACAAGACCGCUCCAGCCCACCUUCCAAACAUCAUGACCCGGCCUAAUCAUCUUAAUCUCUUCUCCUAACCUAGCAAACAACAACAAACACACUUUUUGCUUCCAAAUCGCGAACAGUCGAAGCCAGCUCCCCCAAAAUCGACCUUGCGCUCAACCAAUAUCAGGAAAGACAUAACCCAAUUCUCACAACCAACAACCCGUAACCAACCCAUUUGUAGCCUCCAUCACAUGCCUCAUGCGAUAUUAUAGCAAGGAAGAACCUCGAAGCUUCUAGAAAAACAACCUAGGUGUCGUCUCCAAUGGUUCAAUUCUGCAAAUUUUACGAUAACUCAUACGGAUUCGUACAUAUUUGGUAAAUUUUCAUUGGUUAUUGGGUACAUUUUUGUUUUCCCCGCAUUUGAUUGGUCCACUGGUUUCAGAUUUGUGGAAGAAAAUAAAAAUUGGUUACGAUCCAGGGAUCCUAGGGGUUUUGAAUUUUGAAUUCCCUUUGAAAAAAUCCCUAAGAUACCCCCCAAUUUUCAUCUUCUAUAUAAGAACAGAUUAGGCCACAGCUUUAGGGGUUGGAUAUUUGAGGCUUUGGCUUGGGGGGGGGGGGGGGUCUUUUUUGAGAACUAGGAUUCAAAAAUCGUGGGUUAGAAAUUCUGAGGAGGUCUUUCUCUUCUUUCAGAGGUUAGGAUCAAAAAGUGGGGAGAUUGAAAAAUUUAUGAAAAUCAGCGGUUGGAAAAUUGAUAGGCAGAAAGAGGGGGGUUCGAAAUUUUCCUAGGAAAUUAGGUGGGAGAAAAUUUCUUUUGGGUCAAGAAGAAAGGGUUUUGGGAAAGAGCUAUUUGGUUUUCGGGAAAAUAGUUGUUUUUAUUUGGCAAAGAUAUAUGAAUGGUAGUCUUCUAGUCGAGGCUUUCGCAUCGAUAUAUAUUUUCUCGGUGGUGGUGAAGUCCAAAGGAGCUCAAAGUUCCGUUUUGCUGUCCCGAAGGAGAAAUCAUUUGAGACCUACACGGACUCUUCCCUUUGUGCAUAUUCAUCAUAGGCCACUGAAGCCUACUAUGUCGAUUGAGUCAAGCGUGAAAGAGAAUCCACUGGAUGGCAUACGGACGCGAGGAGUCAAAAGGACGGAAAUGGGUUAAAAUCCCAUCUUUGAAGCGGCAAAGGAAAUUUGAAAGUCUCAUUUUUUUAUUUACUUAUUCAUUAUUGCCUUCAUUUGUCUAUUUUUAUCCAUUCUAUUUACUUCUUUAUUCAUUCAUUCGGGCCACGAAGCCAAAAUUGUAUUUAAUACAAGUGGAGCAAGAUUCGAGCCAAAUGCUCGAAAACUAGAAUAGGACAGGUGAAAUGGGUCAAAGUCCCAAUUAGACUAGGACAGGUUUUGUUGGUUUGGGCCAAUGCCCCAAAUACCUUACUUCCUCCCCUUCUCUCUGU
This is a long non-coding RNA of Capsicum annuum, 1427 nucleotides long. RefSeq lists it as uncharacterized. The record is from RefSeq and is a predicted model, not a curated record. NCBI's taxonomy places the organism in Eukaryota, Viridiplantae, Streptophyta, Magnoliopsida, Solanales, Solanaceae. The transcript is spliced from 2 exons.